Molecule: ribosomal RNA, 255 nt
Filed under: uncultured Desulfocapsa sp.
Lineage: Bacteria; Pseudomonadati; Thermodesulfobacteriota; Desulfobulbia; Desulfobulbales; Desulfocapsaceae
Description: partial 16S ribosomal RNA
Rfam family: Bacterial small subunit ribosomal RNA
Source: RNAcentral
CGACUCUAAGAAGACUGCCGGUCGGUCAAACCGGAACGGAAGGUGGGGAGUGACGUCAAGUACCUCCAUGGCCUUUAUGACCAGGGCUACACACGUACUACAAUGGCAGGUACAAAGGGCAGCCACUUAGCGAUAAGGCGCGAAUCCCGUAAAACCUGUCUCAGUCCGGAUUGGAGUCUGCAACUCGACUCCAUGAAGUUGGAAUCGCUAGUAAUCGCAGAUCAGCACGCUGCGGUGAAUACGUUCCCGGGCCUU